Molecule: long non-coding RNA, 281 nt
Organism: Nanorana parkeri
Lineage: Eukaryota; Metazoa; Chordata; Amphibia; Anura; Dicroglossidae
Exons: 4
Source: RefSeq, a predicted model, not a curated record
CACACUUAUCUCAAGUGUCCUAACAACAGCGAUCGGGUCUGGAACGUUGAUGUGAAGUUGAAUCUCUUUGAUGUUCUUCUAAAAGUCUCUUCUGAGGUUCCAGCCUCAUUCAGUAUGGCGAUCUGCUACCAAAACCAGAGUACGGGCGCCUGCACCAUCCAGUCGGCAGUCUAUAAUAUUUCAACGCCUUCUAAAGAGAUGCAGCUCUCCCUCCCUUGGCCUGGUCUUGGCACAUGUAUUAAGGUCUGGCGAUCUGAUGUCCGUUUUGCUCAUGAGUAUCU